UAAGGAAUAUUGGUCAAUGGACGCAAGUCUGAACCAGCCAUGCCGCGUGAAGGAUGAAGGUCCUCUGGAUUGUAAACUUCUUUUAUCUGGGACGAAAACGGGAUUUUUAUCUCAAUUGACGGUACCAGAGGUAUAAGCACCGGCUAACUCCGUGCCAGCAGCCGCGGUAAUACGGAGGGUGCGAGCGUUAUCCGGAUUUACUGGGUUUAAAGGGUGCGUAGGUGGGCUUAUAAGUCAGUGGUGAAAUCUCCGAGCUUAACUUGGAAACUGCCGUUGAUACUAUAGGUCUUGAAUUAUCUGGAGGUCAGCGGAAUAUGUCAUGUAGCGGUGAAAUGCUUAGAUAUGACAUAGAACACCAAUUGCGAAGGCAGCUUACUACAUAUAAAUUGACGCUGAGGCACGAAAGCGUGGGGAUCAAACA
This 421-nucleotide ribosomal RNA is filed under the name uncultured bacterium. Its description in RNAcentral is "bacterial SSU rRNA". It matches the Rfam family "Bacterial small subunit ribosomal RNA", at positions 355 to 774 of the family's 1533-position model. The record is from RNAcentral.